Betta splendens (Siamese fighting fish) is the source of this 3238-nucleotide long non-coding RNA. RefSeq lists it as uncharacterized. The record is from RefSeq and is a predicted model, not a curated record. The transcript has 5 exons. Lineage: Eukaryota; Metazoa; Chordata; Actinopteri; Anabantiformes; Osphronemidae.
UGUAGUCGACCAAUCAAAUCACAGAAUGGGGUGGUCGGCACUUUUAGGCGGGUUUGUCGUUAGUGCCAGUGUAACUUGGAGUUUUUAGUAAAAUAUGUUAUAACUAAACUGCUUUAAUUAAAGUUCAACAUGACGACAGACCAACAUCCAAUCUAUAGCGGCACAGAAAUAGAAGGAGGCGUUUGGACCCUUAAUGAGAAGCUAGCUGCUAGCUAACCGUCAUGGUUAGCAUGAUGACAGACAGAACGCCGGCCUUCUCCCACAGCGGGAGGUGCUCUUUCCUGCGUUUUACUUUCUGCCUUUCGCCCAAAUUCGGGUGUGACCCCACAGAACGCUGAUGAGACAUCUUACUGUGGCCAGAGAACAUCUAAAGACCAGGAAUACAGUUACAGCAGGGAUUCUGUUUGUUAAACAUCCAGAACCGGUCCGAGCAUGACGCCAUCAGCUGCUACAGUGAAGCUACGUCUGGACAGAGUGGAUGCACGGUCAGAGCUAAAGGGCCGCGCUGAUAUGAUGGGAUGGAGGAAGGAAAGGAGGCCAUCCAGGCCGGUGGAGCGCUGCGGGCGGAGACGGACGGACGGACGGGCGCGCGCGCCAGGUUUGCUCGGGGCGGUGGGGACCGUUCGGCCACCAGCUAAGCCUCACGCACGAGCAGCCGCAGCGGGGCUCACGUCCCGCACAAGCGCGCUGUUCGCAUUGUUUCCCAGUCAGGAGAGGAGGCCGUUAGGACGGGGUCAGCGCCUGCACAGUGGCACGUGCCCAGAGCACGAGGGGCGGAAGCAAAAGCCUGAUGACUUUGCAGCCACGAGGAACGGUGCGUUUCCACGGCACGUCGAGAUAAUCGAUUUGUGCUGUGCGUGCGUGCGCGCGCGCGCGCGCGUGCGUGAAGUCCGGCUUUUCCGCCUCCGUAUGUGGCACCAACCGGCCAGACCUGUCUGUCAGACUCACGCGCUCUGACAGGGGCGCGCGUCACUGAAAGCCGCUGGUUCACAUCAUAUUAAUUCCCCUAAAAAUGUUUUGAUUCAAAGUAGUUUGUAUUUUAUGUUGCCAAGGGCAAUCGAAAAGAGCUAUUGCCGGUAGUGCAGUCAGUGGAGCGCGCGGGCCCAGAGGCGAUAACGGUAUUUAAGCAACGGAGAGUAGCCUCGGGCUGCGGCGCGAGCGGCGGGCGGGAUCACACGCGGAAUCAAGCGCCUUUUACGAGUUUGCCACGAAAAUUAAAGAAAAAGAGACACGGGCCAAAUGUCAUUCUCCUCGUAUUUUAACAACAAUGUUUAUAGCUCCUAAAAAGAGAGCGCGCGCCGAUGUCUUGACAGAAAAGGGAGGUGCGCGCGCACAGGCGGCAGUGGCGAGGGCGCGCGUCUGACAGAUCAGCUUGAUGCAGCAGGCUGCUGUUGGAGCUGAACUGGGAAGCGGAUAGUGGGUGAUUAAAAACACAGACGACUCCUCCUAAGUAGGAUCCGCGUUUCUUCAGUGAUUUUCUUUUGAAAAAGGUUAUGUGAAUAUUCAUGCCGCCAAAGCCGCAGUCAGAAAGAACAACAUUAAUAUGAUCUCGGCUGAAUCCGGGGCCCCGCUCGGCAUUAGCAUAUCAAAGCGUCCGCCCGAGGCGAGAGAAGCUAUCGAUACGGGAGCGGGAGGUAAAGCAAAGAUUAUUGGUUGUGAUGGUUGCAGCGGCUGAGCUCAGGGCAAAAUACGGCGCACCAUUAACCGAAAGUGAUAGCGAAGGGAUUCCCGCGUCAAUCCGAGAGAAGAAGCCCAACACCUAGGCAGAGCUGAUGAAAAAUUAAACCCGAGACACAGCCUUCCUCUGUGUGGACAAACCGGAGCGCCGGCUGUAAAAAGUGAAAAGAAAAAAAAAUACAGGCGCGAGCUUUGAUGGAGCAAAAGCAGAUCCACAGCCUGCUCUGAGGAAAUUGGCGCAGCCUGAUGUGUGCAGAUGCAGACGCAGGCUUCACCUGAGCCGGAUUUAGCUCGAGCACCUGCUAACAGACCCUGGGAUUAAUUCUAACGUCUGACUGGAAGAUAAACACGCAACAAAACACCACGUAUCAACAAAAGCGUAAAAGAAAAUAACAUCCAUUUCCCGAGAACAAUUCUUCUUAUUUAAAGGAAUUAUAACACUUUUUAGUCCUACUUGUAAUAUUGUAUAUAAUCAAAUAAAAACUAUUACAUCUAUUACAAACCUUAGUCCUAUAAUUUAAUUUUAAUAGACUGGUUAAUUUAAUUAUAGGACUUUCACCGUUCAACAGAAGAGGUCAACGUUUUCUAAAGGCUGCUAAAAUAUAUGUCAAAGCAUAAAUAAUUCAGGGUUGGGUUUUAAAAUAAACUCUAUCUUUUAAUAAUAUUAUUUUAAGAUUCCGUGUUUAUUUUAUCAUUUGUAUAAAGGCAAGUUUGACAUUUCAUUACAUCAGUGUCUGUCUUAUGUGCACCGCGUAGGAAAACGCUGCCUUAUUAAUUCCUGGCAGUUUCUAUUUUACUGCCAAACUCCAUAACAAAGCAGGUGCUGAGUGACGGUGGAAACGGGGAGAACCGUGUUGGUGUUUAAACAGGCGAGGAGGCGCGUUGACAGCAGACAACAGAGCCGCGUUGCGCCUGUUUGUCUGUUUGUCUGCGCCCUGUCCUGUCGCGUGCUGCCGUGCGGCGCGUUCACGGCCUCCGGUGCGGCGUGCGUGAGAAGAAACGGGGCCUUACCUCUGCGGAUGACGCCCCCUUGGCCGUUGAGCACGAGCCCACACUGCGCCUCCACGGAGCCCUGCGGAGACAAGCACUCAUUAGGACGAGCGGGGAGGUGAAGGCGUGUUUUCUCUGCGCCCCGCUGGAGCACGGUUUGCUCCGCUGUCAGGACGCACACGCACCGCAAAUUAAUACGUUCACUCUCUUUUUUCUUUUUGUGGGAGAUAAGAUCACCGAGUAGAGGUUUUACGCACUUUUCUAUUCAACAGCACGCACAGGAAAGGCAUUAUUCUCUAAUAAUUAGACGGUAGAAAUCUAAUUCUAACAUGUGGAAACCGCUACACGCUGAGCGGUUCCCAGUUUAAAAGCACCUCUUUGUCAACGUUUUCCACAGGCUUGAUUUAGUCAUUUGAUAGACCUGCAGUUGGUUCUGGCUGAGAAAACUGCACAUUCCGCCCAAACGUACGACGGACGUACUGUUAGAGUAUCUCCGGCGUGCACGGGGCCACGGCACCUUCAUUGAUGCACGUUGAGAGAUUUGGCCCCAAAGCCACAGUGUUGUAGUGGU